AUUGAACGCUGGCGGCAUGCCUUACACAUGCAAGUCGAACGGUAACAGGUCUUCGGAUGCUGACGAGUGGCGAACGGGUGAGUAAUACAUCGGAACGUGCCUAGUAGUGGGGGAUAACUACUCGAAAGAGUGGCUAAUACCGCAUGAGAUCUACGGAUGAAAGAAGGGGAUCGCAAGACCUUGUGCUACUAGAGCGGCCGAUAGCAGAUUAGGUAGUUGGUGGGAUAAAAGCUUACCAAGCCGACGAUCUGUAGCUGGUCUGAGAGGACGAUUCGCAGCACGGGGACCGAGACACGGCCCAGACUCCUACGGGAGGCAGCAGUGGGGAAUUUUGGACAAUGGGCGAAAGCCUGAUCCAGCAAUGCCGCGUGCAGGAUGAAGGCCUUCGGGUUGUAAACUGCUUUUGUACGGAACGAAAAGCCCCGGGUUAAUACCCUGGGGUCAUGACGGUACCGUAAGAAUAAGCACCGGCUAACUACGUGCCAGCCGCCGCCGUAA
Molecule: ribosomal RNA, 498 nt
Filed under: uncultured bacterium
Lineage: Bacteria
Description: partial 16S ribosomal RNA
Rfam family: Bacterial small subunit ribosomal RNA
Source: RNAcentral